Molecule: ribosomal RNA, 498 nt
Filed under: uncultured bacterium
Lineage: Bacteria
Description: bacterial SSU rRNA
Rfam family: Bacterial small subunit ribosomal RNA
Source: RNAcentral
GACGAACGCUGGCGGCGUGCCUAACACAUGCAAGUCGAGCGGAGAUAUAUGGAAGGUUUACCGGAAAUAUAUCUUAGCGGCGGACGGGUGAGUAACGCGUGGGCGACCUGCCUCAUACAGGGGGAUAACACAGGGAAACUUGUGCUAAUACCGCAUGAAAUCAUAGUAUGGCAUCAUACAAUGAUCAAAGGAGCAAUCCGGUAUGAGAUGGGCCCGCGUCCGAUUAGCUAGUUGGUGAGGUAACGGCUCACCAAGGCGACGAUCGGUAGCCGAACUGAGAGGUUGAUCGGCCACAUUGGGACUGAGACACGGCCCAGACUCCUACGGGAGGCAGCAGUGGGGAAUAUUGCGCAAUGGGGGAAACCCUGACGCAGCAACGCCGCGUGAAGGAGAAGGCCUCGGUUGUAACUUCUUUGAUAGGGGACGAGUAAUGACGGUACCCUAAAACAAAGACCACGGCUAACUACGUGCCAGCAGCCGCGGUAAACAUAACUCGUA